GCCCAACCAUAAACUUUUACUUACACCUAAAUCGCCAGGGAACUACGAGCUAAGCUUAAAACCCAAAGGACUUGACGGUACCCCAUAUCCCCCUAGAGGAGCCUGUCCUAUAAUCGAUAAUCCACGUUUAACCUCACCAUUUUUAGUUAAUCAGCCUGUAUACCUCCGUCGUCAGCUUACCACGUGAGCGUUUCUUAGUGAGCCUAAUGUCUUUCACCAACACGUCAGGUCAAGGUGCAGCAUAUGAAAUGGAAAGAGAUGGGCUACACUUUCUAAAUUAGAAAAAACGAAAAACUACUUAUGAAACCUAGUUGGAAGGCGGAUUUAGCAGUAAAAAGGAAUCAACAUGUCCAUUUUAACUCGGCACUGGGGUGUGU
This 377-nucleotide ribosomal RNA is filed under the name Ingerophrynus parvus (lesser toad). Its description in RNAcentral is "partial 12S ribosomal RNA". It matches the Rfam family "Bacterial small subunit ribosomal RNA", at positions 794 to 1384 of the family's 1533-position model. Lineage: Eukaryota; Metazoa; Chordata; Amphibia; Anura; Bufonidae. The record is from RNAcentral.